RNAcentral lists this long non-coding RNA (552 nucleotides) under Cricetulus griseus (Chinese hamster). Its description in RNAcentral is "lncRNA (ENSCGRG00015040648.1)". Lineage: Eukaryota; Metazoa; Chordata; Mammalia; Rodentia; Cricetidae. The record is from RNAcentral.
GGUGGGUGAAAGACCCGAGCUAACAUGGGGUUAGCUCAUUAAAUUACAAUAAAGCCUCGUGCAGGUUGCAGCAAGCUCUGGAAUCCACCUGGUGAUUGGGGUGACCAGGAACGUGGCCUGGGACCACGGAUACUUGAGUUUUCGGGGGUCUAGCAUUUGGGGGCUCGUCUGCGAUUUGCGACCACCCUUCACCUGAGUGGAUCGAUCUUGGAGGGGGAAACAGACUUGUUUCGAGACCCUGAAGUCCCGCCCUGGACGAAAGUCAGAGGGUCGUUUGAAUUGAACCAUAGGUUUAAACAUGUCUUAAACAGGUUUCUGCUUCUGGCAGACAUCUGAGUAUCAGUUGCUGACUACAGGCUGUUCUAAGUAGACUGCGAGCCCUGGACUUGCUGUGGAUGUGAACCAGUCCAGCUGAUAUGGACACCCCCUGUCUCUGCAACAGUGUCUGCUAACCAGAAGCUCCUGAUGGAUUCCCCAUUGCCUAAAUUCCUUUUUUUGCUUUUGACUAGCAUUUCAACUUUCUGGGGUCCCUAACUUCGCUCCAAAGUCAGC